ACGUAGGGGGCGAGCGUUGUCCGGAUUUAUUGGGCGUAAAGGGCGUGUAGGCGGUCUGCUAAGUCAGAGGUGAAAAUCCAGGGCUCAACCCUGGAACUGCCUCUGAAACUGGUGGACUUGAGUGCUCUAGAGGGCAGUGGAAUUCCCGGUGUAGCAGUGAAAUGCGUAGAGAUCGGGAGGAACACCAGUGGCGAAGGCGGCAUCCUGGACCGGCAUUGACGCUGAGGAGCGAAAGCCAGGGGAGCAAACGGGA
Molecule: ribosomal RNA, 253 nt
Filed under: uncultured prokaryote
Description: partial 16S ribosomal RNA
Rfam family: Bacterial small subunit ribosomal RNA
Source: RNAcentral